CCGGCCACACUGGGACUGAGACACGGCCCAGACUCCUACGGGAGGCAGCAGUGGGGAAUAUUGCACAAUGGGCGAAAGCCUGAUGCAGCAACGCCGCGUGAGGGAUGACGGCCUUCGGGUUGUAAACCUCUUUCAGCAGGGACGAAGCGCAAGUGACGGUACCUGCAGAAGAAGCACCGGCCAACUACGUGCCAGCAGCCGCGGCCGAA
RNAcentral lists this ribosomal RNA (209 nucleotides) under uncultured Actinomyces sp. RNAcentral describes it as "partial 16S ribosomal RNA". It matches the Rfam family "Bacterial small subunit ribosomal RNA", at positions 304 to 525 of the family's 1533-position model. Lineage: Bacteria; Bacillati; Actinomycetota; Actinomycetes; Actinomycetales; Actinomycetaceae. The record is from RNAcentral.